RNAcentral lists this ribosomal RNA (253 nucleotides) under uncultured bacterium. RNAcentral's name for it is "partial 16S ribosomal RNA". It matches the Rfam family "Bacterial small subunit ribosomal RNA", at positions 524 to 776 of the family's 1533-position model. The record is from RNAcentral.
UACGAAGGGGGCUAGCGUUGCUCGGAAUCACUGGGCGUAAAGCGCACGUAGGCGGCUUACUAAGUCAGGGGUGAAAUCCUGGAGCUCAACUCCAGAACUGCCUUUGAUACUGGUGAGCUUGAGUCCGGAAGAGGUGAGUGGAACUGCGAGUGUAGAGGUGAAAUUCGCAGAUAUUCGCAAGAACACCAGUGGCGAAGGCGGCUCACUGGUCCGGUACUGACGCUGAGGUGCGAAAGCGUGGGGAGCAAACAGG